GAUGAACGCUGGCGGCGUGCCUAAUACAUGCAAGUCGAGCGAACAGACGAGGAGCUUGCUCCUCUGACGUUAGCGGCGGACGGGUGAGUAACACGUGGAUAACCUACCUAUAAGACUGGGAUAACUUCGGGAAACCGGAGCUAAUACCGGAUAAUAUAUUGAACCGCAUGGUUCAAUAGUGAAAGACGGUUUUGCUGUCACUUAUAGAUGGAUCCGCGCCGCAUUAGCUAGUUGGUAAGGUAACGGCUUACCAAGGCAACGAUGCGUAGCCGACGUGAGAGCGUGAUCGGACCCACUGGAACUGAGACAAGGUCCAGACACCUAAGGGAGGCAGCAGUAGGAAAUCUUCCGCAAUAGGCGAAAGCCUGACGGAGCAACGCCGCGUGAGUGAUGAAGGUCUUCGGAUCGUAAAACUCUGUUAUUAGGGAAGAACAAAUGUGUAAGUAACUAUGCACGUCUUGACGGUAACUAAUCAGAAAGCCACGGCUAACUACGUG
RNAcentral lists this ribosomal RNA (497 nucleotides) under uncultured bacterium. RNAcentral describes it as "partial 16S ribosomal RNA". It matches the Rfam family "Bacterial small subunit ribosomal RNA", at positions 28 to 507 of the family's 1533-position model. The record is from RNAcentral.